RNAcentral lists this ribosomal RNA (253 nucleotides) under uncultured bacterium. RNAcentral's name for it is "partial 16S ribosomal RNA". It matches the Rfam family "Bacterial small subunit ribosomal RNA", at positions 524 to 776 of the family's 1533-position model. The record is from RNAcentral.
UACGUAGGGGGCAAGCGUUGUUCGGAAUUACUGGGCGUAAAGGGCGCGUAGGCGGCACGGCAAGUCGGGAGUGAAAGGCCUGGGCUCAACCGAGGAACUGCUUUCGAGACUGCCGAGCUAGAGUGCGGAAGGGGCAACUGGAAUUCCCAGUGUAGCGGUGAAAUGCGUAGAUAUCAGGAGGAAUACCGAUGGCGAAGGCAGGUCUCUGGGCUAUAACUGACGCUCAUGCACGAAAGCGUGGGGAGCAAACAGG